Molecule: long non-coding RNA, 352 nt
Filed under: Struthio camelus australis
Lineage: Eukaryota; Metazoa; Chordata; Aves; Struthioniformes; Struthionidae
Description: lncRNA (ENSSCUG00000004244.1)
Source: RNAcentral
UUGGAGCAGUUGGAAGCUGGUUCUGUUUGUGGAGCGCCGCAACUUUUGGGAGCGGUGUCCUGUUGAAAAGCACUGGCAGCCUCCAGGCACAUAAAUGCACGUACAUAUGUUUUAAGGAGAGGACGCUUUACAGAGGUCUCAGCUUAGGCUCGACCUACAGGUUUCAAACCCCCAAGAAACACCUGCGGCUCCCUGCAGCGGACGUGUUGCAGUGGUGGGACUGAAAAAACGUACAAGGAAGGCCUUUGGUAUACGCAAGAAAGAAAAGGAUACUGAUUCCACAGGGUCGCCGGACAGGGACGGACUCAUAGCCCCGGGUAGCGGGAGGAUCGUGUCUCCUUUAGCCGUUUGA